RNAcentral lists this ribosomal RNA (472 nucleotides) under uncultured bacterium. Its description in RNAcentral is "bacterial SSU rRNA". It matches the Rfam family "Bacterial small subunit ribosomal RNA", at positions 355 to 825 of the family's 1533-position model. The record is from RNAcentral.
UCGGGAAUAUUGGACAAUGGGCGAAAGCCUGAUCCAGCCAUGCCGCGUGAGUGAAGAAGGCCUUCGGGUUGUAAAGCUCUUUUGUCAGGGAAGAAACGGUAGUAGCGAAUAACUAUUACUAAUGACGGUACCUGAAGAAUAAGCACCGGCUAACUACGUGCCAGCAGCCGCGGUAAUACGUAGGGUGCAAGCGUUAAUCGGAAUUACUGGGCGUAAAGCGUGCGCAGGCGGUUGUGUAAGUCAGAUGUGAAAUCCCCGGGCUCAACCUGGGAAUUGCAUUUGAGACUGCACGGCUAGAGUGUGUCAGAGGGGGGUAGAAUUCCACGUGUAGCAGUGAAAUGCGUAGAUAUGUGGAGGAACACCAAUGGCGAAGGCAGCCCCCUGGGUUAGCACUGACGCUCAUACACGAAAGCGUGGGGAGCAAACAGGAUUAGAUACCCCCGUAGUCCCUGAGCGGGCUGGCAAGGCGCAU